CCUACGGGAGGCAGCAGUGGGGGAUAUUGCACAAUGGGGGGAACCCUGAUGCAGCGAUGCCGCGUGGGUGAAGAAGGAUUUCGGAUUGUAAAGUCCUUUUAUCAGGGAAGAAAAUGACAGUACCUGACGAAAAAGCUCCGGCUAACUACGCGCCAGCAGCCGCGGUAAUACGUAGGGGGCGAGCGUUGUCCGGAUUUACUGGGUGUAAAGGGAGCGUAGGCGGGUCGGCAAGUCCGGUGGGAAAGCUCGGGGCCCAACCCUAAGACUGCUUUUGAAACUGCUGAACUUGAGUGCAGUAGGGGCAGGCGGAAUUCCUGGUGUAGCGGUGAAAUGCGUAGAUAUCAGGAGGAACACCGGCGGCGAAGGCGGCCUGCUGGACUGAAACUGACGCUGAGGCUCGAAAGCGUGGGGAGCAAACAGGAUUAGAUACCCGAGUAGUC
RNAcentral lists this ribosomal RNA (440 nucleotides) under uncultured bacterium. Its description in RNAcentral is "partial 16S ribosomal RNA". It matches the Rfam family "Bacterial small subunit ribosomal RNA", at positions 338 to 795 of the family's 1533-position model. The record is from RNAcentral.